This 603-nucleotide ribosomal RNA is filed under the name Triticum aestivum (bread wheat). RNAcentral describes it as "partial small subunit ribosomal RNA". The record is from RNAcentral. Lineage: Eukaryota; Viridiplantae; Streptophyta; Magnoliopsida; Poales; Poaceae.
AUGAAUAAUGAGGUGUUAAACCUUAAACUUAGUGAUGGGGCAGAUGAGGUUUAUUGGAAAUGGGAUAGUUCGGGCAAUUAUACCACUAAAUCCAUGUAUGCUUGGCUGGAGAAAGAUAUUGCAGGAUCUAAUUUUAAAUGGAUUUGGGAUGCAAAGCUACCUCUUAAAAUCCAAAUUUUCUUAUGGCAGAUGGCGCAGAAUGCCAUCCUGACUAGGGACAAUAUGAAAAAAAGACUAUGGCCGGGGGAUCCUUGCUGUUCAUUUUGUAAUCAAUUAGAAACAGCCCAACACUUGUUCUUUUUAUGCCCUGUGUCCAGGGUGGUGUGGAGAAACGUGGGUUCCUUACUUGGAACUGAUUGCUGUCCUAACUCUGUCUGGCAAUACUAUACGUGGAUGUACAGUUUCCUACCUGGGAUGGACAAAAUUUACACUGUUGGCUUGGCUGCUAUAUGCUGGGCUAUUUGGUUGGCCAGGAACCAAGCCACUUUUGAACACAAAUGGAUUAACUCCCCGUUUGAGAUUGUGUUCACAGCUUGUUCUUUUUUGAUAAACUGGGCAGGCCUCCAGAAAGCAGAGAUGGUGAAAAAGGAGCAGAGAUGCUGA